GACGAACGCUGGCGGCGUGCUUAACACAUGCAAGUCGUACGGUAAGGCCCUUUCGGGGGUACACGAGUGGCGAACGGGUGAGUAACACGUGAGUAACCUGCCCACAACUUUUGGAUAACGCUAGGAAACUGGUGCUAAUACUGGAUAUGUGCUCCUGCUGCAUGGUGGGGGUUGGAAAGCUCCGGCGGUUGUGGAUGGACUCGCGGCCUAUAAGCUUGUUGGUGGGGUAGUGGCCUACCAAGGCGGCGACGGGUAGCCGGCCUGAGAGGGUGACCGGCCACAUUGGGACUGAGAUACGGCCCAGACGCCUACGGGAGGCAGAAGUGGGGAAUAUUGCACAAUGGGCGCAAGCCUGAUGCAGCAACGCCGCGUGCGGGAUGACGGCCUUCGGGUUGUAAACCGCUUUCAGCAGGGACGAAGCUUUUUGUGACGGUACCUGCAGAAGAAGCACCGGCUAACUACGUG
RNAcentral lists this ribosomal RNA (465 nucleotides) under uncultured bacterium. Its description in RNAcentral is "partial 16S ribosomal RNA". It matches the Rfam family "Bacterial small subunit ribosomal RNA", at positions 28 to 507 of the family's 1533-position model. The record is from RNAcentral.